This is a non-coding RNA of Monodelphis domestica (gray short-tailed opossum), 8487 nucleotides long. The record is from RefSeq and is a predicted model, not a curated record. Lineage: Eukaryota; Metazoa; Chordata; Mammalia; Didelphimorphia; Didelphidae.
CACCCAAAAGCACGCUUCUCUCUACCAAUCAGAGGACAGAGUUUCUUCCACCAAUCAGAGAGUUCAGUUCAUCAGCUCUGAGGGGUUACUAGCCCAAUGGGGAGGAGUUUGGUUGUCUGUGUGGAGGCCGGAGUAGAAGAUCCUGGAGUUCCAAGCCUUGAAGGGCGGGACUUCUGACCGAGAGGCAGGCCGGGGCUCCUUUUGUGGUCCUACUGGGGCGGGACUCUUGGACCUGGGAGGAGCCGUUCAGGGGAGACCCACUGGAAACCCGAGCUCUGGUAGCAGACAUCACUCUUCCUCCAGGAAAGCGAGCCAGCUGUGUCCGUGAGAAACCCAAAAACACGUGACUAAGUUUUCUACCUGCUCAAAAAUCCCUGCUCCACCAAAAGCACCAACAGGAAGUAAAGAGCACUAAACAAGGAACUCCACCCAAUUUAUCCUGUCUACAUCAGCACAUACCGACAGGAAAUUCUCAUAUCUCACUGAUAGAAUCCAUACCUAUGAUUUCAUAGGGGGAAACAUUUCAUAAGAGAGAUCAUAACUGCUAUCCCUGCCUUCUGUGGAUCAGCUGAAGCCUAGAAUAUUCUGCUCCAGAUACUCAUCUUCAACUAUGUUAGGAGUCACUGACAUUCAAGGAUGUGGCUGUGGACUUCACCCAGGAGGAGUGGUGCCUCUUGGACCAUUCUCAGAAAGAGCUGUACAAGGAGGUCAUGCUGGAAAACUCCCAGAACCUGCUCUCCCUGGAUGCAGAGACCAGGAUUGGAAUGAAUGAGACUACUACAAGACUGAGCAUUUCUGUAGAAGAAUAUCAUGACCCAAGAUUUAUGAGUGAUGGUCCCUGUGAUUUUAAUUUGAGAGAAAUCCAUGAAUCAGUUAUAAAAACAGAACAAAAUUUAAAUAGUCACUGUAAAGAUAGAGAAUGCUUUAUUGAAAAGGUUAGCCUUAUUCAGUCUAAUGAGAAGCCUCCUGAAAUGCAAAUAUAUCAAUAUGAUCAACAAGAAAAGGCCUUCAGCUUGAAUUAAAACCUUAUUACACAUCAGAAAAUUGAUACUGGAGAAAUGCUUUAUUUAGGGAAUGAAGGUGGGAAGGGCCUCCACCAAAAUGCAAAGCUCAUCAAUCAUCAGAAAAGUCACAUUGCUAGGAAAACUUAUGAAUGUAAUCAAUGUGAAAAAACGUUCACAGAUAGGGCUGGACAUGCUAUGCAUCAGAGAAUCCACAUUAGAGAGAAACCUUAUGGAUGUAAUCAAUAUGAAAAAACUUCCACACAGAACUCCUGUCUUUUGAAACAUCAGAGAAUCCACACUGGAGAAAAACCUUAUGAAUGUAAUCAGUGUGGAAAGGCUUUUACACAGAACUGCAGUCUUGCUCAACAUCAGAGAAUCCACACUGGAGAGAAAUCAUAUAAAUGUAUUCCUAUGUGGAAAGACUUUCAGAACAAGAUCCAUUCUUCACAUUCAUGAGAGGAUUCACACUAGAAAGAAAUCUUAUGAAUGUAAUCACUGUGGAAACAGUCAUUCAGAAACAGAUCCAAGCUUGAUCUUCAUCAGAGAAUCGACACUGGAAAGAAACUUUAUGAUUGUAAUCAAUGUGGAAAAACUUUCAAAAGAAAAUCAAGUCUUUAUGAACAUCAGAGAAUUCACACCAGAAAUAAACCUUAUAAUUGUAAUCAUUGUGGAAGACUUUCCGAACAAGAUCCAUUCUUGUUGAAUAUCAGAAAAUUCACACUGGAGAGAGACCUUAUGAAUGUAAUCAAUGUCAAAAGGCUUUCAUAUCUAGCUAUUGUCUUGCUAAACAUCAGAAAAUUCACACUGUUAAAAACCUUAUGAAUAUUAAAAAAUGUGGAAAGGCUUUGAGAUGCAGCUUUGAACUUGCUAACCAUCAGAAAAAUCCUCCAUAGAGAGAAAUGACAUAUAUGUCAUGAAUAUAGUAAAGCUUUCUAUGACCACUCUUCUCUUAUUGCACAUCAGAGAAUCCACACUGGAGAGAAACCUUUUAAAUGUAAUCAUUGUGGAAAGGCUUUCCCAUAUCAGGCCAAUCUUGCUAACUAUCUGAGAUUCCACACUGGGGAGAUACCAUAUGAAUGUAAGCAAUGUGGAAAAGCAUUCAGAGAUAACUCCAAACUUGAUGCACAUCAGAGAAUCCAUACUGGAGAGAACCUUAUGAAUGUAAUCACUGUGGAAAGACUUUCAAAAUGAGAUCCAUUCUUGUUGAACAUCAGAGAAUUCACACUGGAGAGAAACCAUAUGAAUGUCAUCAGUGUGAAAAGUCUUUUAGAUGCAGUUCCUGUCUUGUUGUACAUCAGAGAAGCCACACUGGAGAGAAACCUUAUGAAUGUCAUCAGUGUGGAAAGCCUUUCAGACAGAGGGCCUCACUUGCUCAACAUCAGAAAAUCCACACUGGAGAGAAAUCUUAGGAAUGUAAUCAAUGUGAAAAAGCUUUCAAACACAACUCCAGUAUUCCUCUUUCUUAAAAAAUUCACACUAGAGAGAAACCUUAAGAUUAUCAUUAAAGUGGUAAAGCCUUCAAGUAACAGUCAUCCUUAUUUCUUACCAGAGAAUUCCUAUUAGAUAAUGAAUUUUAUCUCUAUAAUGAAUGAAGAAACGCAUUUAAGUGAAGCACAGAGCUUGUUCAACAUCAGAAAGUUCAUUUUGGUGAAGCUAUCCUAUAUGGACUCAAUGGAGGAAGAUCUGCCUGAGAUUCUCUCAUACUUUACAUCAGAGAACUGGAAUUUGUCCAAUUGUUUGAUGGAGUCAUGAUUUUUUUUUCUUGAAGAAGGAAAUUAAAAUAUACAUACUGAAAAGGAGGAUUAUUAAAGCAAUGUCUUGUCAACUUCAAAGUCUUCAUGUAGAGCUCAUCCUUGAUUAUAGUAGUAGUAGUAGUCUCUCGGUAACUGAGAAUGACGAUUGUCUUUGUGUGUUUUCAUCUAUGGUGUAUAGAUGAGUGUACCCAAAGACACUUGUGCGUGAAGGAGAUUUAAGUGGAAAAGUCGAUGCACAGAGACAGUCCCACUCUCUCGGCGUUGGAAGCCUGGGUCCAGUGGCACGAAAAGUCGUUACACCUGGAGACUUCCUCAGCUGCAUUGGAUGGCCGUGUUGUCCUUUGUGCUCCAACACACCCUAAGCACUCCACAGUGCUUUGCUGCGUCGCCAUCUCAGCCAUUGAACUUUCUUAUUGGUUUCUUCUGUCUGUUCAGCCGAAGCAGUUUUCACAUGCUGGGUGAGCAAAGCCCUGGUUCACCAGGGGUCUAUGACCCGAUGGCUAGGUCAUGGAGUGAGAAGAUUAUAGGUCCUGCUUGUACAGCAGCUCUGGAUUCAUGGGGUUCUCACAAUUUCAUCUGUAAGUCCUCUAUAUAUGAAGCAAUAGAAGUGUCUCUCUUCCCCACCCCCUGUAAUGAUGUGUAUGCAAGAGGAAAAGGCUUAACCUGUAUAGAGGAUAUCCUAAAAGCAUCUUAAAUGGUGAGAUGUGUAGAUCUCCCCUGGGCCUGCUUUGAAGAUAAAAGAGAGCCAAAGGGAGAAUUUCAUGCUAUUUUAAGUGAGUCUCAGUGCACAGUUUUCCAAUUAUAGUCUUAAGAUCUCUAUUCAUUCUCUCAACUUGGCCUGUGCUCUGGGGAUGAUACAGUACAUGGAAUUUGGGAAUGAUCCCCAAACAAGAAUAAAUCUGAGACAAAACCGAAUCAGUAAAAUGAGUUCCCCUGUCUGAAUCAAUUCAUCUUGGCGAGCCAAAGCAAGGAAUAAUUUCUUUUAAGACCUUGGCAAUAAAAGUUGCUGUUGCUUGGGCAGUAGGAAAUGCUUCAGGCCAUCUAGUCAGCUGAUCCACUAUGACCAGACAAAAUUUAUAAUGUCUAGCCUUUGGCAUCAUGAGAAAGUCAAUUUGGUAAUGCUCAAAAGGUGUGUAAGCCAGAGGACAUCCACUGAAAGCUUUGCUACAAAAGGCAUGUUUAUUAUAGGCUUGACAGGUAGGGCAGGCUGCCUCUAGUACCUGUCCAGAGUACCCAGGUGUUAAAGUUUCUCCCUGGCCUCAGAAAUCUAGACCUGAACCUCUCUGGUUGGCUACCUAUCAGAUCCCAGGCAUAUGCUCCCUGUCUCUACUUGCCUGCUAGUGUCCCAGAUUAGUGGUUUCAAGCCUAAAUUCCAGUACAUGGUCCCAGGAGUCCUCCUCAGCUCCCACUUAAACUACAGGAAAUAGAUAACUAUCCUGCUUUCCGGAUUCAGUUGCCCUCAUGGAACCCUUCUGUCACUCUGGGGUACCUAGAUUACCCUGAGCUUUGUUAUAGCAUUCUUCCUCCUAGACCCUAUCCAGGCUUCUUUCACCAAGGCCUCCUGCCUUCUUGCCUCUGGUUGGUAUCUCAGAUAGGAAGAGACCAGAUAGAGCCUCAAAACUCCUAAAUCAGAGAUCUUCCUCCAGUGAUACUUUCCCCUCCCUCUAUCCCCUCCCCUCAGGUAAAACACACAAAAUUCAACUUACUGAUCUGGGAGGGAGGGAACGAACAGCCCCUGGGCCCCAGAGACCUCCAUCCCAGAUGAGUGCUAUUUUUCCAAAGACUCAAUUGAUGUCAGCAUAACAGCAGGUGUAACUAUUUCCAUAGACAUAGAGGAUUGUUUCUUUUUUUAAAAAUUAUUUUAUUUUAAUAUCAAAUUUUCACAUGAGUUUUCAAAAGUUAUAUAAUCCAGAUUGUCUCCUUCUGUUCUUCCCUGCACCCUCCCAGAGCUGGCAAGCAAUUUAAUGUGGGUUAUGUAUUACCACGCAAAAUAUCCUACCAUAUUAUUCAUUUUUUAAGGGAAUUAUAAACCCCAAACCCUAAAACAUACACCCAAAUAAACAGGUGAUAAAUCAUAUGUUUUCAUCUGUAAUCCUACUCCAACAGUUCUUUCUGUGGAGAUGGAUAGCAUUAUCUUUCAUAAAUCCCUCAGAAUUGUUCUGGAUCAUUGUAUGUUAGUAGCAUAGUAUAUCACAUUUGAUCAUUUCAUAAUAUUUCAGUUACUGUGUGUAAUGUUCUCCUGGUUCUGCUUAUUCUACUCUGCAUAAGUUCAUGAAAUUUUAAAAAAAGAAGUGGCAAUAGUGUUCUCAGACAAAGCAAAAGCAAAAACAGCUAAUUAAAAGAAAUGAUCAAGGAAAUUACAUCUUGUAACGGGCACCAUAAGCAAUGAAGUAAUGUCAGUACUAAAUAUAUAUGUGCCAAAUGGCAUAGCAUCCAAAAUUUUAUAAAAGUUAAAUGAGUUACCAGAAGAAGUAGACAAUAAAACUAUACUAAUGGGGGACCUCAGCAUUCUCCUCUCAGGAACAGAUAAAUCUAACAAAAAAUAAAUAAUAAAAAAAGAAGUGAACAGAAUUUUAGAAAAUUUAGAUAUAAUAGACCUCUGGAAUAAAAAGGAAAAUACAUUUUUUCUCACUGAUACAUGACACUUCCACAAAAUUUGACAUAAAAAAACUCACUACCAAAUGCAGAAAACCCAAAAUGUUAGAUGCAUCCUCUUUUCUUUCAGAAAGCCCCACAUUAAAUUUUCAUCAAUAUUUUAUACUUAUGACAUUAUAAUUUAUAUUUAUUUUCAAAUUCUAAAAUAUAAUACAAUUUCAAAUUUUAUAAUAAUACAUUGUAAUGGAAAUAUUAAUUUGGAGUUUUUGCAGUAGCAAAAUUUUCUAUAUCAUUAUUAAAAGCACUUAAUGUGUCAUUUAAUAUAAAUAUUGGGAGUAGUUAAUGACUUAGCAGGGAUAUUCACAGCACACUUCUUGUUAAAAGGAGUUUUAAAAAGAUUUUGGGAACCACUGCUCUGGAAUAAUGGUUGUUCAUUACAUUGAUCAGUAUUGGUAUAAUAGAAAUUGCAGACAGUUUUCACUUUAGGUAAGUGAGACAUUCCUCAGACCUCUAAAUGAAGAAUUUUUUUAUAUAAUGUGGAUAUGCUCCAUACACCCCUUAUAAAGGAAUUCUUUAUUCCUUUUUUAAUUUAACAGAUGGGUAAGGAUUAACCAGCCCACAGUGACAGGAAGUAGGAACCACGGAGCCCCUGCUAGGCCAGCAUGAGUUGGUUGGAGCUGUCAGUUGUAGUCAAUUGCUGACAGGUCUGUCAGUUGCGAGAAAGUGGGCUGCUCAGUGUGAGUUGGUGGUUGGCAUUUAGUUGCUAGGAUAUAAAGGUGGCCCUGAGCUUACUGAGAGGGCUUUUGGCUUUAGCCUUUAGAAAGCUUUUUGCCUUUUGGGUUUUUGGCUUUUGGUUUGGGCUGUUAGGUUAUUUUUCCUUCCUUGAACUUUUUGGAAGGUGACUGAUCUUCGCUGACAGACCUAAUUGGGGUUGGAUUAAACACUGGUUGGGUUGGUUUUGAUUGGGUGGAUUGGGUUGGAACUUUGUGGGAUGGUUAUUAUAGGUAGAUAUAGACAGUUUUAGGUAGUUACAGGCAGUUAUAGGAUAACUAGCAUAGACAUUAGGAAAAUAUAUUUCUCUACCUCUUUCCUAUAUUUCCCUCCUUUACUGUAUUCUUUUACUAUCUCUAUUUUAAUAAAACGAAGUUGUUAAUUGUUAAAAGCUGCUAGAAGUUUUCUUUUCUCUGGAUUAAAGGGAUAAUAUUAAUUUUCAACUCUACUAUAUCCUCAUUAAAACUUAAGUUAUUAAAAGCUGCUCUUUUAUUUUUUCAAACCCCUAAUUUAACCCUUACAAAUGUGAAGAUGAGAUUAACUCCCCCCUGCCCAUUUUUAGAUUUAAUCACCAGAAGUGUAUAUACCCCACGGUCUGUGGUCUGUGACCCACGUGUGCUAUAGUGGGUGAUGAAUCAGAAUUGACUGACUGCCCCUGGUCAAUCCUAAGUAUAACUUAGCUGUAAUUGGUACACGUAAAAUGGAGGGAAGUCACAGGAAGUGACAAAAAGAAAUGGUCUUUAAAAAUGCCACGAACUUCCUGGGAAGACGUCUUUCACCUUCAACUUGGUCUUGAAGGAGCUCCAGUUUGAGACCUCGGACUGCUCUUGAACUUUUCCUUUAGAACUACCACAUGAGGUUAAUGAAAAAGGCUGACUCCUUUCCUGGAUUUUCUGAAGGGACUAGCCUCAGGAGAGGCCUACCCUAUUGAGAGAGACUUCGUGCAUUCUGUUAAGGUAAAUUUUAGGGUUGUUGACUAAAUAUAUUAUAUUAGUGGUCGCCAGGGAUUAAAAUUCAAUCCCAAUGAAAUAUUCAAGACAGUUUGGGAUUUUAUGGUGGUUUAAUUACAAUAGAAGGAAGAAAUUAAGAAGAAGGAAAAGAAGGAAAGGGUAUAAGAACUUAUCCACUUUGGCCUAAGCCAAGGGGAGUUCAGAGACCUCAGCCAAGGGGCCUUCCCAGAAGAUUAAAUCUAGCUUGACUUCCAGCCACAAGGCCUCCUCCAAGAUGAGGGGCCUCCUCGGAGGAUAGUGCCUUCAGGAGGUCAAGGAAAGGGGGAGUCAGCCUUAUCACUCACCAAGGCCGAUUCAGGGAAGAUGCCUCACCUAAAUCACACUUACAGAGCUCCUCCCAGUAACUCCACUGCCAAGUCCGCCAACACUGAAAGCACAACAAACACCGUCAAGAGCUCCCAACACCACCGAGAGAGAGAGAUCAUAGGAAGUGACGCAAAAUAUAUAGGCAGUUCUUUACAUCACUUCCUGUGUCUCACAUGUACCAAUGGUGGCUUAAACUUGGCUUAGGGCAGCCCAGGGGAUCAGUCAGUUGUUUCUGAUUUGCCACUUGCUAGCACAUGUUGGUCAUAGGCCAUCCUCCCCUACAGUUAAUCCUUAAGUGGAGGAGUAUACAUUCUUUGGUUGCUAAAAUUCUAAAGACUAAGCAGGGUGGAGUAAAUCUAAAAUUCACAAUCCCCAGAUCCUCAGCUCAAGGCUAAGAACUAAUUAGCCCUGCCUGGGUUGAGCCAGGGGCCAGAGAAAAAUACUUAGUGUGUAGGUUAGAUAUCUUACCCUCUCCUCUCUCUGAUUUUCUUACUUUCACUCUUUCUAUAUUUUAUAAAUAAAUUGCUAAAAAAUCAUUUUGGAAUUGAUUAAAAUUCCUGGUGACCCUACUUUUAAAUAAUCCAGUCCAACCUUUUAUAUUGACCCCUUACAUUUCUGGCCCUUACACAACCCUAACCCUAAAUUUGCCCCCAACUAUAAUCCUAAUUUUGCAUCUUCCUCCAGCUCUAACAGUUAUCUUAAAUCAAUCCUCUGACCUAGCUCUAACAUAACUCCAAACCUAACUAUUUUUUAAAUAAUUUUUUUGAAAUGGAGAUUUCUUUUAGAACUUUUUACAUAAAGUUGAAUUUGUGUAAUGUGAAUUACAUAAAGCAAGAACCAUCUAUUCUGCUGGUUCUGUGCAGUUAUCUCUAUACCAUCUCAGUCAAUGCUUUUCAGUUAUCUUUCUCUGAAACUGCUUUUAAUCAUUUCUAAAGAGUUGACAAUCUUCCAUUAUAUUAUUAAAUCAUCAUUUAUUCAGUCAUUUCCUGAUAUAUGAGCCCUGUAUUGUUUUCAGUUCUUUGUAGCAAUAAAAAGUAGCAGUUAAAA